This 253-nucleotide ribosomal RNA is filed under the name uncultured bacterium. RNAcentral's name for it is "partial 16S ribosomal RNA". It matches the Rfam family "Bacterial small subunit ribosomal RNA", at positions 524 to 776 of the family's 1533-position model. The record is from RNAcentral.
UACGUAGGGGGCAAGCGUUGUCCGGAUUUAUUGGGCGUAAAGAGCGUGUAGGCGGCCACACAGGUCCGUUGUGAAAACUCGAGGCUUAACCUCGAGACGUCGAUGGAAACCGUAUGGCUAGAGUCCGGAAGAGGAGAGUGGAAUUCCGGGUGUAGCGGUGGAAUGCGUAGAGAUCCGGAAGAACACCGGAGGCGAAGGCGGCUUGCUGGGCGUGAUCUGACGCUGAGGCGCGAAAGCGUGGGGAGCGAACAGG